AACGAACGCUGGCGGCAUGCUUAACACAUGCAGGUCGAACGGAUGGCUUCGGCCAUGAGUGGCGGACGGGUGAGUAACGCGUGGGAACCUGCCCUUUGGUACGGAAUAACAACGGGAAACUGUUGCUAAUACCGUAUAUUGCUCCGGCUGAAAGAUUUAUCGCCGAAGGAGGGGCGCGCGUCCGAUUGGGAAGUUGGUGAGGUAACGUCUCACCAAGCCUACGCUCGGUAGCUGGUAUGAGAGGAUGAUCCGCCACACUGGGACGGAGACACGGCCCAGACUCCUACGGGAGGCAGCAGUGGGGAAUAUUGGACAAUGGGCGGAAGCCUGAUCCAGCAAUGCCGCGUGAGUGAUGAAGGCCUUCGGGUUGUAAAGCUCUUUUGCCUGUGACGAUGAUGACGGUAACAGGCGAAUAAGCCCCGGCUAACUUCGUGCCAGCCGCCGCGGUAA
This 450-nucleotide ribosomal RNA is filed under the name uncultured bacterium. RNAcentral's name for it is "partial 16S ribosomal RNA". It matches the Rfam family "Bacterial small subunit ribosomal RNA", at positions 29 to 523 of the family's 1533-position model. The record is from RNAcentral.